GACGAACGCUGGCGGCGUGCUUAACACAUGCAAGUCGAACGGAAAGGCCUCUUUCGGGGGGUACUCGAGUGGCGAACGGGUGAGUAACACGUGAGUAACCUGCCCUUGACUUUGGGAUAACUUCAGGAAACUGGGGCUAAUACCGGAUAGGAGCUCCUGCUGCAUGGUGGGGGUUGGAAAGUUUCGGCGGUUGGGGAUGGACUCGCGGCUUAUCAGCUUGUUGGUGGGGUAGUGGCUUACCAAGGCUUUGACGGGUAGCCGGCCUGAGAGGGUGACCGGCCAAAUUGGGAUUGGAUAACGGCCCGGAGCCCAACGGGGGGCAGCAGGGGGGAAAUUGGAAAAAGGGGGGGAGGCCUGUGGCGGAAACGCCGGGGGCGGGAUGACGGCCUUGGGGUUGAAACCCCCUUUCGCUCAGGACGAAGUUUUGGUGAAGGGAAGUGGGUAAAAAACACCGGGUAAAUUCGUG
This 466-nucleotide ribosomal RNA is filed under the name uncultured bacterium. RNAcentral's name for it is "partial 16S ribosomal RNA". It matches the Rfam family "Bacterial small subunit ribosomal RNA", at positions 28 to 507 of the family's 1533-position model. The record is from RNAcentral.